This 446-nucleotide ribosomal RNA is filed under the name uncultured bacterium. RNAcentral describes it as "bacterial SSU rRNA". It matches the Rfam family "Bacterial small subunit ribosomal RNA", at positions 355 to 825 of the family's 1533-position model. The record is from RNAcentral.
UGGGGAAUAUUGGACAAUGGGCGAAAGCCUGAUCCAGCAAUGCCGCGUGAGUGAUGAAGGCCUUAGGGUUGUAAAGCUCUUUUACCAGGGAUGAUAAUGACAGUACCUGGAGAAUAAGCUCCGGCUAACUCCGUGCCAGCAGCCGCGGUAAUACGGAGGGAGCUAGCGUUGUUCGGAAUUACUGGGCGUAAAGCGUACGUAGGCGGUGACUCAAGUCAGAGGUGAAAGCCUGGAGCUCAACUCCAGAACUGCCCUUGAAACUAGGUCGCUAGAAUCACGGAGAGGUGAGUGGAAUUCCGAGUGUAGAGGUGAAAUUCGUAGAUAUUCGGAAGAACACCAGUGGCGAAGGCGGCUCACUGGACGUGUAUUGACGCUGAGGUACGAAAGCGUGGGGAGCAAACAGGAUUAGAUACCCCGUAGUCCCUGAGCGGGCUGGCAAGGCGCAU